RNAcentral lists this unclassified non-coding RNA (242 nucleotides) under uncultured fungus. RNAcentral's name for it is "sequence contains ITS1". Lineage: Eukaryota; Fungi. The record is from RNAcentral.
GUAUUAGAUUUAAAGGCCUUUCGGCACAAUUCACGUUCGAGAUUAGACAAAGGGGUGUGUAUAGUAAAGAGAAGGGAAAGCGGGAAACUAGCGGAAAACCCCACUAGAGUCCUACAAACCCUCUCAAAAGGUGCACAGGUGUAUGGAUAAGGAUUGUCAGAGGCGAGCACAUAUCCCAAAGGACCAGCUCAACCCCCUUCAACAAUUCAUUAAUGAUCCUUCCGCAGGUUCACCUACGGAAA